Molecule: long non-coding RNA, 456 nt
Organism: Micropterus salmoides (largemouth bass)
Lineage: Eukaryota; Metazoa; Chordata; Actinopteri; Centrarchiformes; Centrarchidae
Exons: 3
Source: RefSeq, a predicted model, not a curated record
GAGUGCCCUUGAGGUACAACAUAGCCUGCGGGGUCCAGUUUCUCCGUUGGAAAGAGCCCUUUAAUGAAGAAACAAAGAAAAUGAUUUUGCUUCAUCUAAGAGCUGUACAUUUUAUGCUUAGGCUUUGUAAUCCUGCCCUGUUAGCUAACAAUUCAUUCACUUCAUUUUCAGAGAAGAGAAAUAAAGCAGCUUUACCUUCGGUGCACUCCACGACUGUGCAAUAAAGGACGCCAGUAGUAAAAGGAGAAGAGCUUAUGAACAUCAGGAGAACAACUCCAGCGGAUAUAGUUCCCACUUUUCUCAGGUCAUCAGUGGAAUUAUUGGACAUUUUGGUGAAGGGCUCUCUCGCUGUUGUUCAGGAGAGGAAAACGAGCUGGGUCGCUCGUGCGUCUUCGCGAUCUCCGCAGUACACAUUGGACAAAAUUCCACAAAUGUGUAAAAAGGAAGUUACAAAUG